AGAGUUUGAUCCUGGCUCAGGACGAACGCUGGCGGCGUGCUUAACACAUGCAAGUCACGGGGGGUGGCAAUACCAACCGGCGAACGGGUGCGCAACACGUGAGCAACCUACCGAUUUGAGGGGGAUAGCCGGCCCAACGGCCGGGUAAUACCGCAUACGCUCGUAAGGCCUCCUGGUCUAACGAGGAAACCUCCGGGGCAGAUCGAGGGGCUCGCGGCCUAUCAGCUAGUUGGCGAGGUCAUGGCUCACCAAGGCGACGACGGGUAGCUGGUCUGAGAGGAUGGCCAGCCACAUUGGGGCUGAGAAACGGCCCAGACUCCUACGGGAGGCAGCAGUGGGGAAUCUUGCGCAAUGGGCGAAAGCCUGACGCAGCGACGCCGCGUGGGGGAUGAAGGGUUUCGGCUUGUAAACCCCUGUUGCCCGGGACGAAACGCCUUUUUCGAGAGGCUUGACGGUACCGGGUGAGGAAGCACCGGCUAACUCCGUGCCAGCAGCCGCGGUAAUACGGAGGGUGCGAGCGUUGUCCGGAAUCACUGGGCGUAAAGGGCGCGUAGGUGGCGCGACAAGUCAACGGUGAAAGCUCGGCGCUCAACGCCGAGUCGGCCGUCGAUACUGUCGGGCUUGAGCACUGUAGAGGCUAAUGGAAUUCCGGGUGUAGCGGUGGAAUGCGUAGAGAUCCGGAAGAACACCGGUGGCGAAGGCGGUUAGCUGGGCAGUUGCUGACACUGAGGCGCGACAGCGUGGGGAGCAAACAGGAUUAGAUACCCUGGUAGUCCACGCCGUAAACGAUGGGCGCUAGGUGCUUGGGGGAGCGACCCCCUGAGUGCCGACGCUAACGCAUUAAGUGCCCCGCCUGGGGAGUACGGCCGCAAGGCUGAAACUCAAAGGAAUUGACGGGGGCCCGCACAAGCGGUGGAGCAUGUGGUUUAAUUCGACGCAACGCGAAGAACCUUACCUAGGCUUGACAUACACGGGAAACUUCUCAGAAACGAGAGGCCCUCUUCGGAGCCCGUGCACAGGUGCUGCAUGGCUGUCGUCAGCUCGUGUCGUGAGAUGUUGGGUUAAGUCCCGCAACGAGCGCAACCC
This 1086-nucleotide ribosomal RNA is filed under the name uncultured bacterium. RNAcentral describes it as "bacterial SSU rRNA". It matches the Rfam family "Bacterial small subunit ribosomal RNA", at positions 8 to 1104 of the family's 1533-position model. The record is from RNAcentral.